GAUGAACGCUGGCGGCGUGCCUAAUACAUGCAAGUCGAGCGAACAGAUGAGGAGCUUGCUCCUCUGACGUUAGCGGCGGACGGGUGAGUAACACGUGGAUAACCUACCUAUAAGACUGGGAUAACUUCGGGAAACCGGAGCUAAUACCGGAUAAUAUAUUGAACCGCAUGGUUCAAUAGUGAAAGACGGUUUUGCUGUCACUUAUAGAUGGAUCCGCGCCGCAUUAGCUAGUUGGUAAGGUAACGGCUUACCAAGGCAACGAUGCGUAGCCGACCUGAGAGGGUGAUCGGCCACACUGGAACUGAGGCACGGUCCAGACUCCUACGGGAGGCAGCAGUAGGGAAUCUUCCGCAAUGGGCGAAAGCUUGACGGAGCAACGCCGCGUGAGUGAUGAAGGUCUUCGGAUCGUAAAACUCUGUUAUUAGGGAAGAACAAAUGUGUAAGUAACUAUGCACGUCUUGACGGUACCUAAUCAGAAAGCCACGGCUAACUACGUG
This 497-nucleotide ribosomal RNA is filed under the name uncultured bacterium. RNAcentral's name for it is "partial 16S ribosomal RNA". It matches the Rfam family "Bacterial small subunit ribosomal RNA", at positions 28 to 507 of the family's 1533-position model. The record is from RNAcentral.